This 69-nucleotide transfer RNA is filed under the name Metapseudomonas otitidis. RNAcentral's name for it is "Pseudomonas otitidis tRNA-Trp". It matches the Rfam family "tRNA". Rfam says of the family: Transfer RNA (tRNA) molecules are approximately 80 nucleotides in length. The record is from RNAcentral. Lineage: Bacteria; Pseudomonadati; Pseudomonadota; Gammaproteobacteria; Pseudomonadales; Pseudomonadaceae.
GAGGAUGUAGCUCCAGCGGCAGAGCGGGGGACCCAAUCCCUGCGUCGUGGGUUCGAUUCCCACCAUUCA